GCGGAUCUAAGCGAGAGAGAGGGAGAGAGUCGCGAGAUCGUUUGCGAGUGAGUCGAGGAACGCGCCCGGUGAUGUUAUCGUGGUCGCGAUUUGCGAAGGCGUGAGAUCGGAAGUAUUGCGUGGUUUUGGUGUGAGAAAGAAAUGAGAUCGGGAUGAAAGAGUGGUGUCGCGGAGGAAAUGUUCUUCCCCAGCAGAGUCGCCAAUUUUUGGUGUUAUUCCGCCUCCCCGGAUGAGUCGAGAUCUUCUUUAUUUAUAGCUGGAGGGUUCGGUAACUUGUUGACACGUUAUGGCCCAGGUGUCGAGUUCCUGAAUAAGCCAGACACGUAAUCCCGGUUUUAUCCUAUAUUCAUGGCAUAUGUGAUUGGCCGGACGCAAGCAUAAAGCGCCGCCAAUUAAGGAUCAACAAUUAGUAUAAGUGAAUUUUUUUAUUCAAUUAUAUUUUUUGACCCGACCCGGUCCAAAUCGGG
Molecule: long non-coding RNA, 467 nt
Filed under: Zostera marina
Lineage: Eukaryota; Viridiplantae; Streptophyta; Magnoliopsida; Alismatales; Zosteraceae
Description: long non-coding RNA (ZMAR_LNC003927)
Source: RNAcentral